RNAcentral lists this ribosomal RNA (404 nucleotides) under Fusobacteriota bacterium. RNAcentral's name for it is "Fusobacteria bacterium partial 16S ribosomal RNA". It matches the Rfam family "Bacterial small subunit ribosomal RNA", at positions 355 to 776 of the family's 1533-position model. Lineage: Bacteria; Fusobacteriati; Fusobacteriota. The record is from RNAcentral.
UGGGGAAUAUUGCACAAUGGAGGGAACUCUGAUGCAGCGACGCCGCGCGAGUGAUGAAGGAAUUCGUUUCGUAAAACUCUGUUCUAUGGGAAGAAAAGGACUGUACCAUAGGAGAAAGCUCCGGCUAAAUACGUGCCAGCAGCCGCGGUAAUACGUAUGGAGCGAGCGUUGUCCGGAAUUAUUGGGCGUAAAGGGUGCGCAGGCGGCUUUACAAGUUGGAUGUGAAAUAUUGUGGCUCAACCACAAACGUGCAUCCAAAACUGCAAAGCUUGAGUUAAGGGGAGGUAAGUGGAAUUCCUGGUGUAGCGGUGGAAUGCGUAGAUAUCAGGAGGAAUACCGGUGGCGAAGGCGACUUACUGGACUUAAACUGACGCUCAGGCACGAAAGCGUGGGGAGCAAACAGG